RNAcentral lists this ribosomal RNA (497 nucleotides) under uncultured bacterium. RNAcentral's name for it is "partial 16S ribosomal RNA". It matches the Rfam family "Bacterial small subunit ribosomal RNA", at positions 28 to 507 of the family's 1533-position model. The record is from RNAcentral.
GACGAACGCUGGCGGCGUGCCUAAUACAUGCAAGUUGAGCGCUGAAGGUUGGUACUUGUACCAACUGGAUGAGCAGCGAACGGGUGAGUAACGCGUGGGGAAUCUGCCUUUGAGCGGGGGACAACAUUUGGAAACGAAUGCUAAUACCGCAUAAAAACUUUAAACACAAGUUUUAAGUUUGAAAGAUGCAAUUGCAUCACUCAAAGAUGAUCCCGCGUUGUAUUAGCUAGUUGGUGAGGUAAAGGCUCACCAAGGCGAUGAUACAUAGCCGACCUGAGAGGGUGAUCGGCCACAUUGGGACUGAGACACGGCCCAAACGCCUACGGGAGGCAGCAGUAGGGAAUCUUCGGCAAUGGACGAAAGUCUGACCGAGCAACGCCGCGUGAGUGAAGAAGGUUUUCGGAUCGUAAAACUCUGUUGGUAGAGAAGAACGUCGGUGAGAGUGGAAAGCUCAUCAAGUGACGGUAACUACCCAGAAAGGGACGGCUAACUACGUG